AUGGGCGCGCCGGACACAUCAUGGGUGUUCGCGGACCUCGCCGUCGCGGACAGCUCCAGGUACAGCACCCGCUCGCGGCUGCUGCUCACGGGGCUCUCCUUCGCCAUCGGCAUCCUCACCAUCCUCCUCUACCUCACCGUCUCCUACGCCUGCCGCCGCCGCCGUUGUCACCGUCAGGGCGGCGCGGACGCGGGUGCGGAUGCGGAGGACCAGGAGGCCGGCAUGAGCGACGCCGCGAUCGUGUACGAGCAGGCCGACGCGCUGGCCGCGCCCAUGGACUGCGCGGUGUGCCUAGGGCAGGUGGAGGCCGGCGAGAAGCUGCGUCGGCUCCCCAAGUGCGCGCAUCUGUUCCACGCCGACUGCGUCCACGCCUGGCUGCAAGCGCACUCCACCUGCCCCAUGUGCCGCGCCGCUGCCACCGGCACCAUACCGGCCGCGACAGCGGCGCUGCCACCUGGCGUGGUUGCAGUUGCAGGCACGCCGCCUGCCUUGGAACGGAUGAAUUGA
Molecule: ribosomal RNA, 507 nt
Filed under: Triticum aestivum (bread wheat)
Lineage: Eukaryota; Viridiplantae; Streptophyta; Magnoliopsida; Poales; Poaceae
Description: partial small subunit ribosomal RNA
Source: RNAcentral